UUGUGCCAGCCACCGCGGUCACACAAGAGACCCAAAUUAACUGUAUGCGGCGUAAAGAGUGGAACUAUGAUAUCGUAGCAGCUAGGAUCGAAAUACAGCUAAGCCGUCAUAAGCCCAAGAUGUACUUAAGAUCCCCAUUAAGAUGAUCCUAGUAUUCUUGAUUAAUUUUACUCCACGAAAGCUAGGACACAAACUGGGAUUAGAUACCCCAUUAUGCCUAGCCCUAAAUCUUGAUGUUUGCCGUACCAAAGCAUCCGCCUGAGAACUACGAGCACAAACGCUUAAAACUCUAAGGACUUGGCGGUGCUCCAAACCCACCUAGAGGAGCCUGUUCUGUAAUCGAUAACCCACGAUUCACCCAACCACUCCUUGCCAAAGCAGCCUACAUACCGCCGUCGCCAGCUCACCUUCACUGAGAGCUAAACAGUGAGCACAAUAGCCUAACUCGCUAGCAAGACAGGUCAAGGUAUAGCCUAUGGAGUGGAAGAAAUGGGCUACAUUUUCUAUAAUAGAAACCCACGAAAGGGGGUAUGAAACAGCCCCCGGAAGGUGGAUUUAGCAGUAAAGUGGGACAAUAGAGCCCUCUUUAAGUUGGCCCUGGAGCACGUACAUACCGCCCGUCACCCUCCUCACAAGCCACUAACUAUCAUAACUAAUAACCCUUAUGGCUGAAGAUGAGGAAAGUCGUAACAAGGUAAGUG
This 701-nucleotide ribosomal RNA is filed under the name Phaetusa simplex (large-billed tern). RNAcentral's name for it is "partial 12S ribosomal RNA". It matches the Rfam family "Bacterial small subunit ribosomal RNA", at positions 503 to 1502 of the family's 1533-position model. Lineage: Eukaryota; Metazoa; Chordata; Aves; Charadriiformes; Laridae. The record is from RNAcentral.